AAAACUGGUGUCACCUCAACAACGGAACCAGACAAACCUUGCCACCAUUACAAAACCCAAGCGCCAAAGGAGCAGAAUAUGAAGCUCAUAGCUCUACUGGGCCAGAAUCGAGUGCCCAAGGAGAAAAAAAAAAAAAAAUCAAACUGAGAAUGCAACGCGGGUCUCCUUCGCGGACCGAAGCCCGGAGACGCGCGGUAGGCCCUUCCGGUCCUAGUUGCCGUCACCGAUAGGCCGGGCGACGGGCCCAGCUUCCACCCGAGCCCGGGGAUUCUCGGCCUAUACUAGCUGGCGCCCUCUCGCCGGCGUUGGCCUUAGCGGGUGCCUCCGACUAUGCACCGCGGUUUGCAACAGAAGCUCGGGACGCCGCAGAGUGUCCUGGAGGAGCUGCGCGGAGCGCC
RNAcentral lists this long non-coding RNA (398 nucleotides) under Rattus norvegicus (Norway rat). Its description in RNAcentral is "long non-coding RNA NONRATT029017". Lineage: Eukaryota; Metazoa; Chordata; Mammalia; Rodentia; Muridae. The record is from RNAcentral.